Molecule: long non-coding RNA, 1679 nt
Organism: Sapajus apella (tufted capuchin)
Lineage: Eukaryota; Metazoa; Chordata; Mammalia; Primates; Cebidae
Exons: 2
Source: RefSeq, a predicted model, not a curated record
CUCCUGACUGCGCGAUCCUCCUGCCUCGGCCUCACAAAGUGCUGGGAUGACAGGCGUGAGCCAACUCGCCAGGCCUCAGUGUCUUUUUUUGAGCAGCACUUUGCAAAUAAUGUAAAUGCUAAAGAGGUAUAAAGAAUAUUUAAAACACUAUCCAAAGGGCAUAAGAUAUGUUUAAUGAAUGAGAAUAAAGUUGUCAUUAGAAUAAUUUUUUUACCAGCUUUAUUUUCUUAAUUUCUGAAGUAUUGCCCUAUUAUAAAAAAGAUUAAAGUAGAUCCCCAAAUCAGAAGAGUUUUUGAUUAGAAUGAAGGACCUGAAUUGGUUUUCCAGAUGGACUCACUUGUUAAAAGGGGAUUGUGACAAGUAUUUAUUCAGCAGUUUGUUCCACAGCCGGUGUUUGGGCUAUUGGAAAGGAGGUGCUAUAUAAGUGUAUUGUAAUAAUGAAUGCCCUUAGGCAAGAGGGGAAUUGUGUAAGUAGAUGUAUUCUGUAAUUCUUUCAUGUAUAUUCAUCUUUUCUGUCCAAGUGGAAUAUACACCCUUUAUGGGCAAGGACCACCUCUUCUAAUUUGUAUUUAUAAACUAUUUUUUCUUUCUCAGGGCUUUCAAGGACUGAGAAUGCACAUAUGGAUAGAACAAAUCUAGAAAUUCAAGCUACUUCUAUUGCUAAACAAGUGUAGAGUUUCAUAUAAAUAUAAUUCAUAAAAGGUAUAAAUGGCAAGAGUUUCUACCCAAAGAUUUUGUGAAACACCUGGUAUUCUAGCAACAGUGUCAAGGCGUGGCAUCCCUUAGCCCCUCAGAGACCUCUGCCCUCAGCAGAUGUGACCGCUUUCUUGGAUCUCAGCAGUGCAAGGUCUGGAAGCUGGAAAUCUGAAGUCAGGGUGCCCACCUGCUCUGGCUCUGAUGAGGAUCCUAUUCAAAAUUGCAGACUGAAGGCUUCUCCUUGUAUCAUCAUGUGGCAGAAAUGAAGCAGGUUAGCUCUCUGGCUUCUUCUUAGAAGGGUACUAAUCCCAUUCAUGAGGGCUCCCCCUUCAUGAUCUGUUUUCCUCCUAAACGUCCCAUCUCCAAAUACCAGCACAUUGAGAUGAGUGUCUCAACAUAAAUUUGAGGGAAUACAAAUAUUUAGUCCACUGCAAUAUUUUAAUAAGAAAUACUGUAAAAAAAAAUUAAAACUACCUUGCAUAUGAAUAAAAAGUGCUAACGUAAAAUUAACGAAAUAUGGCUGAUAAUAAUUUUGGUUGACUGUUACAAUGAGAACUCGAAGAAAUAUAUGAAAUAUUUUUGUUUUGGAAAAGUUCUGGCUAAUGUCCAGAAGUCAUCCCUCCCCCGUUUAUAUUUUGGUCCCAGGUACAGUAAUAAUUUACAACUCUGAAUUAUCCAAAACAGUGAAUGCUUUACCCCAGUCUGUGAAUAUCUCAUAGACAGUCUUAUUAAUAAAGGAACUAAUUAGUAGCUGAUGGCAUUGUGCAGCAUAAACAUAAGGAGACACCUAACACCCUCACUAAUCUAGGGGUACAUUGCAUCCUGUGGGAAGCAAGAAAAUGCAAAAUCGGAAUGACUACAUCUUUACCUGAGAGAAAAGACUGGAUUUCCCCUCUGUCAAUCCCAGGGUGCCAAAUUGAGACACCCCCCCCACCAACUUCAAAGAUAAAUAUCUUAAAAUGCUCGAUUACUUCAUUACUAGA